CAGCCCUAAACGAUGCGCGUUAGGUGUAUCGGUGACCACGAGUCACCGAGGUGCCGAAGGGAAACCGUGAAACGUGCCGCCUGGGAAGUACGGUCGCAAGGCUGAAACUUAAAGGAAUUGGCGGGGGAGCACCACAAGAGGUGGAGGCUGCGGUUUAAUUGGACUCAACGCCGGGAAGCUCACCGGAUAAGACAGCGGAAUGAUUGCCGGGCUGAAGACCCUGCAUGACCAGCUGAGAGGAGGUGCAUGGCG
Molecule: ribosomal RNA, 252 nt
Filed under: uncultured archaeon
Lineage: Archaea
Description: partial 16S ribosomal RNA
Rfam family: Archaeal small subunit ribosomal RNA
Source: RNAcentral